UAGACGUCCCUGGAGACUUAAGUCCUCUUUAUCUCCAACAGUUCUACAGCAUGAGGAGGGGCAGCCUCGGCUUCCACUACAGUGAUCUGUCAAGUUGCUUCAACCUCGACUCAGCAGGGUCACUUCCAGGAACAAGGAGAUAAUUCAGCCAUUAUGACCCUGUCCAGCUCUCUAGCUUUU
This 180-nucleotide small RNA is filed under the name Nothoprocta perdicaria. RNAcentral describes it as "TUC338 (ENSNPEG00000007746.1)". The record is from RNAcentral. Lineage: Eukaryota; Metazoa; Chordata; Aves; Tinamiformes; Tinamidae.